RNAcentral lists this ribosomal RNA (279 nucleotides) under uncultured bacterium. RNAcentral's name for it is "partial 16S ribosomal RNA". It matches the Rfam family "Bacterial small subunit ribosomal RNA", at positions 76 to 353 of the family's 1533-position model. The record is from RNAcentral.
CUUGCUAAGUUUGAUGGCGACCGGCGCACGGGUGAGUAACACGUAUCCAACCUGCCGAUGACUCGGGGAUAGCCUUUCGAAAGAAAGAUUAAUACCCGAUAGCAUAAUGAUUCCGCAUGGUUUCAUUAUUAAAGGAUUCCGGUAAAGGAUGGGGAUGCGUUCCAUUAGGUUGUUGGUGGGGUAACGGCCCACCAAGCCUUCGAUGGAUAGGGGUUCUGAGAGGAAGGUCCCCCACAUUGGAACUGAGACACGGUCCAAACUCCUACGGGAGGCAGCAUG